GCGAGUGGUAGUGGUGUCACGCUUCCACUCUGUUGUUUGCAGAGUCUGCUGCAUUGUCUGUGCGGCGCUGAAGUGUGCUCCCUCCACUGUGGGUGAACACAUCAGUGUCGGAAGUUGCCGUGGACGGCAAGUGAGCCGUGCGCUCCCUCUCUCUCUCGCUCUCCCUCUCCUCACGAGUUGGAAGCGCUGCGCUGCUAUCCUCUGGUAAUUGGGCCAGCUUGUGAAUCGCGGUGCCGCGGCCCUGUAGCAACCUCAGCCUCCAAGCCGUGGCCGACUGCUGUUCUGUCUCCCUCUUUUCUUUUAUUGUUUUAGUUCAUGUUGCCGCUACAACUACUACUACUACUACUACUACCACUACUUUCGUGACGACUACAAUUUUGUGAUGGUUUAAAUUAUAGUUAUGAAUAUUGUUUCAGUUUAUUAGUUCCUUUAUUUUUGUUUGUUUGUUUGUGUGUUUAUUUUUGACUAAGUUGUUUGAUUUGAAUUA
This is a long non-coding RNA of Solea solea (common sole), 487 nucleotides long. RefSeq lists it as uncharacterized. NCBI's taxonomy places the organism in Eukaryota, Metazoa, Chordata, Actinopteri, Pleuronectiformes, Soleidae. The transcript has 3 exons. The record is from RefSeq and is a predicted model, not a curated record.